This 524-nucleotide ribosomal RNA is filed under the name uncultured bacterium. Its description in RNAcentral is "bacterial SSU rRNA". It matches the Rfam family "Bacterial small subunit ribosomal RNA", at positions 791 to 1320 of the family's 1533-position model. The record is from RNAcentral.
UAGUCCACGCCCUAAACGAUGUUUACUCGAAGUAUGUGUUUGGCAUGUGCUUCCAAGGGAAACCGAUAAGUAAACCACCUGGGGAGUACGUCGGCAACGAUGAAACUCAAAGGAAUUGACGGGGGCCCGCACAAGCGGUGGAGCAUGUGGUUUAAUUCGAUGCAACGCGAAAAACCUUACCUACCCUUGACAUCCUCAGAACUUGUUAGAGAUAACUUGGUGCCUUCGGGAACUGAGUGACAGGUGCUGCAUGGCUGUCGUCAGCUCGUGUCGUGAGAUGUUGGGUUAAGUCCCGCAACGAGCGCAACCCUUACCUUUAGUUGCCACCAUUAAGUUGGGGACUCUAAAGGGACUGCCGGUGUUAAACCGGAGGAAGGCGGGGAUGAUGUCAAGUCCUCAUGGCCCUUACGACCAGGGCUACACACGUACUACAAUGGCAGAAACAAACCGUUGCGAAGCCGCGAGGUGGAGCUAAUCGGAAAAACACUGUCUCAGUCCGGAUUGAAGUCUGCAACUCGACUUCA